GAGCUAAAGACACACACAGACUGAAAGUGAAAGGAUGGAAAAAGAUAUUUCAUGCAAAUGGAAACAAUAAGAAAGUGGAGGUACCAAUACUCAAAUCAGACAACAUAUACUAUAAAACAAAGAAUGUUCCAAGAGA
Long non-coding RNA from Balaenoptera musculus (blue whale), 136 nucleotides. RefSeq lists it as uncharacterized. The transcript has 3 exons. NCBI's taxonomy places the organism in Eukaryota, Metazoa, Chordata, Mammalia, Artiodactyla, Balaenopteridae. The record is from RefSeq and is a predicted model, not a curated record.